Molecule: ribosomal RNA, 230 nt
Filed under: Philophthalmus gralli
Lineage: Eukaryota; Metazoa; Platyhelminthes; Trematoda; Plagiorchiida; Philophthalmidae
Description: partial large subunit ribosomal RNA
Rfam family: Eukaryotic large subunit ribosomal RNA
Source: RNAcentral
UCCGAUAGCGAACAAGUACCGUGAGGGAAAGUUGAAAAGUACUUUGAAGAGAGAGUAAACAGUACGUGAAACCGCUCAGAGGUAAACGGGUGGAGUUGAACUGCAAGCUCUGAGGAUUAAGCUGGUGAGUAUGGCAUGAGCUGGGUCAUGUUGGUUGUGAGUCUGGGUCUGCUUAGCCGCAGGUUCUCGCCUUCUGGUGGGAAUGCGCGUUGCACUUAUCAAGUGUUGUG